This is a long non-coding RNA of Neofelis nebulosa (Clouded leopard), 908 nucleotides long. RefSeq lists it as uncharacterized. The record is from RefSeq and is a predicted model, not a curated record. The transcript has 2 exons. Lineage: Eukaryota; Metazoa; Chordata; Mammalia; Carnivora; Felidae.
UAAUCCAGUAAGACUGAUGCCCUUAUAAAAAGGAGAAAUCUGGACAGACAUGCACGCAAGGAGAGCACCAUGUGAAGACUGGAAGUUAUGCUGUCCCCAGAUCAAGAACUACAGACAGACCUUUUCCUAGUGCCUUCAGAGGGGCCUCCUGGCGCUGCCAAUGCCUUGAUCUGAGAUUUCUAGCCACAAAACCGUGAGACAAUAAAAUUCUAGCAUUUAAGACACUCAAUUUGUGCCUUUGGCAAACAGAAGGCAAAUAGCCAGAAGACAAAUAAAAGACUGAAAACCUCUGAAAGGAUUAGGCUUGCAGGUCACAGUGAGAUCCGUGGGAAUGGGAGAAUACAAAAUGGCAGACAAACAACAGGUUAACGUACAACUAUCAUGCACAUGACAACAAAUACAAGAAAUAUGAAAAAUGUUCAUACCUGAAGACACAUCAGGACACUCUACUAUUUUCAAAAGUAAACAUGUUGUUAGAGAUGCAAUGGAAGAGGCAUGGGGAUACAGAAGGGUACUGACAUAUUGGUUGUUUUCCCUUUUGCAAGCUAACAACUGACCAACCCUAACAGAAAAGCUGAAGGUUAAAAGAAGAAAUCUACUUGUCAUCUUUGACCAAGUUCUACAUGAACAGUUGCCCCCAAAAUCAUGAGUCUCUCACUGAAGGAAGACUCAGGAAUUGGGAGAAAAUAGUUUUUUACAAGAACUAAACAGUAAAAAUGGUAAUAUUCUACUAAUAGAGAAAUGACACUCAAGAGGUCAAAAUAAUUGGACUUCCUGACACAGCUUUGUGCAAUGUUUUCUACUUCUUUUAUAUAAUAACCUCAAAAAGACUCCAAGUGAUAUUUCUUCUAUCAUAAUGAGCAGCUACUGGGAAAAAACAGAAACUAUAAAAUUAUUUCUCCUGCUUC